Molecule: long non-coding RNA, 1402 nt
Organism: Sciurus carolinensis (gray squirrel)
Lineage: Eukaryota; Metazoa; Chordata; Mammalia; Rodentia; Sciuridae
Exons: 3
Source: RefSeq, a predicted model, not a curated record
AACCCGUGGAAAAAUCAGUGUGUGAAGACUGUUUCUGUGCAGUCAUUCUAGCCAGGGUGUAAUGCCAAAUUUUAAACUGUCUGGAUGCCAAGGAAGAGAUCUGCUGUGGCUGAGACGAUAUGCAGAAUUUCGUGAAGAUGACAGGAAAACUAAAACCAAAGCUGUGAUAAUUAGAAGCUAAGUUAAGAGAAAUUUUGAGUGUAAAAAGCUUAAAACUUGCUUCGGGACAUUUUGAAUGUAUUGAAUGAAAUAAUUAUUCCCUUCAGACUUGCUGGAGGGAGAUUGCAAGAAUGUCAGAUUCCUCUCUACUUCUAGAGAUGGCUGUCCUGGGUUACACGGAAAAUGUGCAGAAUGUACUAAUCGGUAGUGAUACUGUGGAGUGUGAUGUGUGGUACCCAGAUCCAUCUGAUUUGCACGUCCCUUUAACUUUCAGAGUGUGAAAUAAGUCCACUGGACCCAAAGCAGAAAGAGAAGGGUAAUUGGGAACAAGAUGCAGAAUCUGAAACAAAAUUCUGUAGAAACAGAAAAACAACCAUUGAAGCGAAAGUCGCAUCCUUUCAAUGCUAUUCUGUGCUGUGAAUCCCCUUGUUUUCCUGGAAAUGAGAUCUACCAUAGUUUAAUCAGUGCCCUGCUGUUGGAUGCUUGAAACUUUCAUAUUCUUUUGUAUGACAAAGUAUAGUACUAAGAAUAAGUAGUUUCAUAGUCAUUUUUUGUGUGUAUGCACAGUUACAUAUGUAGACUCAGUUUCCAGAGGUGAGAUUACUGAGUUAAGGACAAAUUGCCUUGGUGUUAGACUGAAGAGUGUCCCCUCCAAGAUGUCUACAGCCUCAUUCCUGGAACCUGUGAAGAUGUCACACUGCACUGCAGAGGAUGCUUUGAAGACGUGAGGAAGAUUCAGAAUCUUGAGAGGGGAGGUUGUUUUGAAUUACCUGAAUUACUCACAUGAGUGUUUGUGGAAGAAGGAUGAGGAACACUGGGUAAUGCAGAUGUGAUUUGAGAAGAACUUGACCCACCAUUACUGUCUUAGAAGAUAGAAGAUGAGAAUCAGGAAACAAGAAGGUCUCUGGAAACUGUCUCUGGACAGUGACCCUCAAUUGACAACCACAAAAAUUCGAAAUGUAUUCUCCCAUAGUCUCCAGUGAAGAAGGUAGCUCUACCUUUAACCCAGUGAGACUCAUGUUGGACAUCUGUUCUACAAAACUAUGAGGCCCAGGAGUUGCUGAGGAUGAAUGCUGUCAUGAAGAAGAAGAGCUGAGAGGAAUAUUCAUGCUCUGUUUGUGUUUCCAGAUGUGCUAUGCAGGUGCAUCUGUACACUUUUUGUGGAACAGAGUGGUUAAAGAAAAGGGAGGAGGACAGGGAUGUGUUCAGGGUAAAUCCUUCCUCGAAGAGCCUCCUCUUUUCC